AUCCUACGGGAGGCAGCAGUGAGGAAUAUUGCGCAAUGGGGGAAACCCCGACGCAGCGACGCCGCGUGAGUGAGGAAGGUUUUCGGAUCGUAAAGCUCUGUCAGAAGGGAAGAAGUGCUGCAUGGUUAAUACCCAUGCAGUUUGACGGUACCUUCAGAGGAAGCACCGGCUAACUCCGUGCCAGCAGCCGCGGUAAUACGGAGGGUGCGAGCGUUGUUCGGAAUUACUGGGCGUAAAGGGCGCGCAGGCGGCCUGAUAAGUCAGAUGUGAAAGUCCACGGCUCAACCGUGGAAGUGCAUUUGAAACUGUCUGGCUUGAGUAUCGGAGGGGAGUGUGGAAUUCCCGGUGUAGAGGUGAAAUUCGUAGAGAUCGGGAGGAACACCGGUGGCGAAGGCGACACUCUGGACGAAUACUGACGCUGAGGCGCGAAAGCGUGGGGAGCAAACAGGAUUAGAUACCCUGGUAGUCCACGCCGUAAACGAUGUGAACUAGAGGUAGGCGGUGUUGAUCCCGCCUGUCUCGCAGCUAACGCAUUAAGUUCACCGCCUGGGGAGUACGGUCGCAAGAUUAAAACUCAAAGGAAUUGACGGAAU
This 593-nucleotide ribosomal RNA is filed under the name uncultured bacterium. RNAcentral's name for it is "bacterial SSU rRNA". It matches the Rfam family "Bacterial small subunit ribosomal RNA", at positions 335 to 919 of the family's 1533-position model. The record is from RNAcentral.